RNAcentral lists this ribosomal RNA (460 nucleotides) under uncultured bacterium. RNAcentral describes it as "partial 16S ribosomal RNA". It matches the Rfam family "Bacterial small subunit ribosomal RNA", at positions 338 to 795 of the family's 1533-position model. The record is from RNAcentral.
CCUACGGGUGGCAGCAGUGAGGAAUAUUGGUCAAUGGACGAGAGUCUGAACCAGCCAAGUAGCGUGAAGGAUGACUGCCCUAUGGGUUGUAAACUUCUUUUAUAUGGGAAUAAAAUGUUCCACGUGUGGGAUUUUGUAUGUACCAUAUGAAUAAGGAUCGGCUAACUCCGUGCCAGCAGCCGCGGUAAUACGGAGGAUACGAGCGUUAUCCGGAUUUAUGGGGGUUAAAGGGAGCGUAGGUGGAUUGUUAAGUCAGUUGUGAAAGUUUUUGGCUCAACCGUAAAAUUGCAGUUGAAACUGGCAGUCGUGUGUACAGUAGAGGUGGGCGGAAUUCGUGGUGUAGCGGUGAUGUGCUUAGAUGUCACGAAGAACUCCGAUUGCGAAGGCAGCUCACUGGACUGCAACUGACACUGAGGGUCGUAAGUGUGGGUAUCAAACAGGAUUAGCUACCCUUGUAGUC